UAAUAUUUUUUUAAAAAAAUAUUUUACUUAUAAAGAAGCCCGUACUUUACAGCAGGUAGAAACUAUAGUAGUAAUUAAACAUUAAUUCUUUUGUGUAUCCCAUUUGGUAUAUCCACCAAAAGUUACAGCGGAAAGAGAAAGUGGGCGUGCAUUAGUGAGAAAGAGGGAGGAAGCGAGGGAAGGAAGCGAUGGUGUAUAGCAAAAGAUGAAAAAUAGAGAAUUGAUAAAUAAAUUGGAGAUAAAAAAUUAAAAGUCCGGUGGAGAGAAAGAAAAUGACCAUAAUGAAUAAUUAGAGAUAAAGAGGUUAGGAUUGUAGAUGGUAGUGGGACCAUUUAAAUAUACUAAUUAAAAAUUUGAUAGUGGAAUCGUUUGUGUUAAUUGAAAAUAUAGCGGGAUCAUUUAAACACACUAAUUAAAAGUUUGGUUAGUGGAACCGUUAAAAUGUAUAUUGAAAGUUUAGUAAAAGAAAGAAGAAGGGUCAUAUGCUAGUGAGGGUGAAAAAGAACUUACCACGUAGCAACAAACAUUGGAGAUUCAUAUAAGUUAAUAGAUAGAUGAUGCUUGUGCGCAGUAUAAAAAACAUUAUUAAUUCUGUAAAAAA
Molecule: long non-coding RNA, 601 nt
Filed under: Ananas comosus (pineapple)
Lineage: Eukaryota; Viridiplantae; Streptophyta; Magnoliopsida; Poales; Bromeliaceae
Description: long non-coding RNA (ACOM_LNC031781)
Source: RNAcentral